CCUACGGGUGGCAGCAGUGAGGAAUAUCGGUCAAUGGACGAGAGUCUGAACCAGCCAAGUAGCGUGAAGGAUGACUGCCCUAUGGGUUGUAAACUUCUUUUAUAUGGGAAUAAAAUGUUCCACGUGUGGGAUUUUGUCUGUACCAUAUGAAUAAGGAUCGGCUAACUCCGUGCCAGCAGCCGCGGUAAUACGGAGGAUCCGAGCGUUAUCCGGAUUUAUUGGGGUUAAAGGGAGUGUAGGUGGACUGUUAAGUCAGUUGUGAAAGUUUGCGGCUCAACCGGAAAAUUGCAGUUGAAACUGGCAGUCUUGAGGACAGUAGAGGUGGGCGGAAUUCGUGGUGUAGCGGUGAAAUGCUUAGAUAUCACGAAGAACUCCGAUUGCGAAGGCAGUGCACUGGACUGCAACUGACACUGAGGCUCGAAAGUGUGGGUAUCAAACAGGAUUAGAUACCCUGGUAUC
RNAcentral lists this ribosomal RNA (459 nucleotides) under uncultured bacterium. Its description in RNAcentral is "partial 16S ribosomal RNA". It matches the Rfam family "Bacterial small subunit ribosomal RNA", at positions 338 to 795 of the family's 1533-position model. The record is from RNAcentral.